GGGGGGGGGGAGUAGCCCUGUCACCUUCCAGACAUAAAAUCCUUCCUGUCUGUGUGACAGGACACGCCCCACCUGGGUUACAGCUCCAUCUGUCAGCCUGAAGGGUGGUUACGGGGAACAGGGCGGAAGGAGGAACCCUGCCUCAGGCCUAAUGAAGUGACUUAAGAUACUUCCUCCAACAGGUGCCCAUCUGGGUGGCGUCAAGACCAUCGUAAAGACGUCUGCAGGCGGAGGUGGCCCGGGCUUUGUUGUGCGGGGGAGGGGAUCGGGCCGGGCACUCCUCCGGUCCGCGGCAGGGUGCCAGGCACCUGCUCCAGGUGAAGCGGCACCUGCCAGAAACCGAACGCUGAGGACCCAGAGUAGGGCGUGGGGACGAGAGGCACCGGGACCCGCAGC
This 396-nucleotide long non-coding RNA is filed under the name Rattus norvegicus (Norway rat). RNAcentral's name for it is "long non-coding RNA NONRATT014113". The record is from RNAcentral. Lineage: Eukaryota; Metazoa; Chordata; Mammalia; Rodentia; Muridae.